GUUUAUGUAAUUUAAGUAAAAUAUUAGAUUGUGA
Molecule: transfer RNA, 34 nt
Filed under: Aneides flavipunctatus (black salamander)
Lineage: Eukaryota; Metazoa; Chordata; Amphibia; Caudata; Plethodontidae
Description: partial tRNA-His
Source: RNAcentral